GAAGCGACAAAGAGAUUUGCUUCAAAAUUUUUAGGAGGGGGUAAUGCUGGUUAACUGUCAAACGUGACGUCAAAGAAUUAUACACCAAAAAAAAAUUCACGACCGCAGGUAUAAUUAUUUCUAGAUAUUAUGCAUAAAAGACU
Molecule: long non-coding RNA, 143 nt
Organism: Sitophilus oryzae (rice weevil)
Lineage: Eukaryota; Metazoa; Arthropoda; Insecta; Coleoptera; Curculionidae
Exons: 2
Source: RefSeq, a predicted model, not a curated record